Non-coding RNA from Lates calcarifer (barramundi perch), 492 nucleotides. NCBI's taxonomy places the organism in Eukaryota, Metazoa, Chordata, Actinopteri, Centropomidae. The record is from the annotation of a RefSeq genome assembly.
CCUCUACUUAUCUGAAUGCAGAGAGGAUGACAGAGAACAGUGGACACACAGUUUAACAUGAUGGACUAUAGGACAGGACUGCUGCUUUUAACUCUCUGCUGGGCAGGUGUUGAUGGUCAGACUCUGACAGAAUCUGAACCAGUGGUUAAAAGACCUGGAGAAUCCCACACACUGACCUGUACAGCCUCUGGAUUCACAUUCAGCAGCCAGUAUCUAGCCUGGAUCAGACAGUCUCCUGGAAAAGGACUGGAGUGGAUCGCUUAUAUCAGUAGCGGUGGUGGCAGCAGCACUUACUACUCUCAGUCAGUCCAAGGCCGGUUUACCAUCUCCAGAGACAACAGCAGACAGCAGGUGUAUCUGCAGAUGAACAGUCUGAAGACUGAAGACACUGCUGUGUAUUACUGUGCCAGAGACACACAACAACACAAACCAUUUGUAGACCUGAACAAAAACCCCUCAGUACCUGAACACUUGUAACAUGAAGCCACCAGA